This 403-nucleotide ribosomal RNA is filed under the name uncultured Eubacteriales bacterium. RNAcentral describes it as "uncultured Clostridiales bacterium partial 16S ribosomal RNA". It matches the Rfam family "Bacterial small subunit ribosomal RNA", at positions 355 to 774 of the family's 1533-position model. The record is from RNAcentral. Lineage: Bacteria; Bacillati; Bacillota; Clostridia; Eubacteriales.
UGGGGAAUAUUGCACAAUGGGGGAAACCCUGAUGCAGCAACGCCGCGUGAAGGAAGAAGGUUUUCGGAUCGUAAACUUCUAUCGAUGGGGACGAAUAAUGACGGUACCCAAGUAAGAAGCCCCGGCUAACUACGUGCCAGCAGCCGCGGUAAUACGUAGGGGGCAAGCGUUAUCCGGAAUUACUGGGUGUAAAGGGUGAGUAGGCGGUUGGAUAAGUCAUAUGUGAAACCUUAAGGCUCAACCUUAAACUUGCAUAAGAAACUGUCCGACUAGAGUACAGGAGAGGUAAGUGGAAUUCUUAGUGUAGCGGUGAAAUGCGUAGAUAUUAAGAAGAACACCAGUGGCGAAGGCGGCUUACUGGACUGAAACUGACGCUGAGUCACGAAAGCGUGGGGAGCAAACA